GGGCCCGCACAAGCGGUGGAGCAUGUGGUUUAAUUCGAUGAUACGCGAGGAACCUUACCAGGGCUUAAAUGUAACGGGACAGAUCUAGAGAUAGAUCCUUCUUCGGACUCAUUACAAGGUGCUGCAUGGUUGUCGUCAGCUCGUGCCGUGAGGUGUCAGGUUAAGUCCUAUAACGAGCGCAACCCCCAUCGUUAGUUGCCAACGAGUAAUGUCGGGAACUCUAACGAAACUGCCGGUGCAAAACCGUGAGGAAGGUGGGGGAUGACGUCAAAUCAUCACGGCCCUUACGUCCUGGGCUACACACGUGCUACAAUGGUAUCUACAACAGGAAGCAAGCGGCGACGUC
This 346-nucleotide ribosomal RNA is filed under the name uncultured bacterium. RNAcentral's name for it is "bacterial SSU rRNA". It matches the Rfam family "Bacterial small subunit ribosomal RNA", at positions 917 to 1264 of the family's 1533-position model. The record is from RNAcentral.